RNAcentral lists this ribosomal RNA (371 nucleotides) under uncultured bacterium. Its description in RNAcentral is "bacterial SSU rRNA". It matches the Rfam family "Bacterial small subunit ribosomal RNA", at positions 527 to 896 of the family's 1533-position model. The record is from RNAcentral.
GGAGGGUGCAAGCGUUAUCCGGAUUCACUGGGUUUAAAGGGUGCGUAGGUGGGUUGGUAAGUCAGUGGUGAAAUCCCCGAGCUUAACUCUGGAACUGCAUUGGAUACUGCCGAGCUUGAGUGUGGGAGAGGAGAGUGGAAUUCCCAGUGUAGAGGUGAAAUUCGUAGAUAUUGGGAGGAACACCCGUGGCGAAGGCGGCUCUCUGGACCACAACUGACGCUGAGGCGCGAAAGCUAGGGUAGCAAACGGGAUUAGAUACCCCGGUAGUCCUAGCCGUAAACGAUGGGCACUAGGUGUUGGAGGUAUCGACCCCUCCAGUGCCGCAGCUAACGCAUUAAGUGCCCCGCCUGGGGAGUACGGUCGCAAGACUA